This 253-nucleotide ribosomal RNA is filed under the name uncultured bacterium. RNAcentral describes it as "partial 16S ribosomal RNA". It matches the Rfam family "Bacterial small subunit ribosomal RNA", at positions 524 to 776 of the family's 1533-position model. The record is from RNAcentral.
UACGAAGGGUGCAAACGUUGCUCGGAAUCAUUGGGCGUAAAGCGCACGUAGGCGGCUCCAAAAGUCGGAUGUGAAAUCCCUGGGCUCAACCGAGGAAGUGCAUCCGAAACUGCGGAGCUUGAGUAUGGAAGAGGGUCGCGGAAUUCCCGGUGUAGAGGUGAAAUUCGUAGAUAUCGGGAGGAGCACCAGUGGCGAAGGUGGCGACCUGGGCCAAUACUGACGCUGAGGUGCGAAAGCGUGGGGAGCAAACAGG